This is a long non-coding RNA of Hippopotamus amphibius kiboko, 504 nucleotides long. RefSeq lists it as uncharacterized. The record is from RefSeq and is a predicted model, not a curated record. NCBI's taxonomy places the organism in Eukaryota, Metazoa, Chordata, Mammalia, Artiodactyla, Hippopotamidae. The transcript has 4 exons.
CAGGAACGUGUAGCUGAAAAGACUCUGGAGCGGCUUAUCCAAUGAUCACUCUCACUCUCGGCAUUCCACACACCCAGAAUAUCUCUCCCUCCAUCCUCUACACCAGGGCUCAGCAAACUUUCUGUAAAGGGCCAGAUGCUUAAAUCCAACCUCUUCCUCAGAGCCUUCUUUAAGGACCCCAGAUUAAAGGGCCGUCUUCUUCGUCUAAGGGGCCCAGGUUCGGUGGCUGGUCAGAGAGCUAGAUCCGGCACGCUACAACUAGGAGCCCGCAUGCUACAACUAAAAAGAUUCUGACUGCCGCAACGAAGAUCCCGUGCGCAGCAAAGAAGAUCUCGCGCAUCGCAACGAACACCCAGUGCAGUCAAAUAAAUAAAUAAAUGUAUAAAUAAAUAUUAACAAUAUCUUUUAAAACACUAUGUUAAACAAAUGGAUGGCGAGCUAAGUGUUGGCUCUAUAUUAGGCACUGACUGAAAGCUUUCGUAUACAUUAAUACACUAAUAAUUA